RNAcentral lists this ribosomal RNA (467 nucleotides) under uncultured bacterium. RNAcentral's name for it is "partial 16S ribosomal RNA". It matches the Rfam family "Bacterial small subunit ribosomal RNA", at positions 28 to 507 of the family's 1533-position model. The record is from RNAcentral.
GAUGAACGCUGACAGAAUGCUUAACACAUGCAAGUCAACUUGAAUUUGGGUUUUUAACUUAGGUUUGGGUGGCGGACGGGUGAGUAACGCGUAAAGAACUUGCCUCACAGCUAGGGACAACAUUUGGAAACGAAUGCUAAUACCUAAUAUUAUGAUAAUAGGGCAUCCUAUAAUUAUGAAAGCUAUAAGCGCUGUGAGAGAGCUUUGCGUCCCAUUAGCUAGUUGGAGAGGUAACGGCUCACCAAGGCGAUGAUGGGUAGCCGGCCUGAGAGGGUGAUCGGCCACAAGGGGACUGAGACACGGCCCUUACUCCUACGGGAGGCAGCAGUGGGGAAUAUUGGACAAUGGACCAAGAGUCUGAUCCAGCAAUUCUGUGUGCACGAUGAAGUUUUUCGGAAUGUAAAGUGCUUUCAGUUGGGAAGAAAGAAAUGACGGUACCAACAGAAGAGGUGACGGCUAAAUACGUG